AUUCCUUCAAGUUUCAGCCUUGCGACCGUACUCCCCAGGCGGCGAGCUUAACGGCUUCCCUGCGACACUCCGAUCGCGAACUGCGAUCGGAUCAUCUAGCUCGCAUCGUUUACGGCUGGGACUACCCGGGUAUCUAAUCCGGUUCGCUCCCCCAGCUUUCAUCCCUCACCGUCGAGCGCGUUCUGGCGGACCGCCUUCGCCACUGGUGGUCUUCCGCAGAUCAAAGGAUUUUACCCCUACCUGCGGAGUACCGUCCGCCUCUCUCGCGGCCUAGUCUCGCUGUAUCUCCUGCGGCUCAACCGGUAAGCGGUUGAAU
RNAcentral lists this ribosomal RNA (316 nucleotides) under uncultured archaeon. Its description in RNAcentral is "partial 16S ribosomal RNA". The record is from RNAcentral.